Molecule: ribosomal RNA, 595 nt
Filed under: uncultured Actinomycetes bacterium
Lineage: Bacteria; Bacillati; Actinomycetota; Actinomycetes
Description: uncultured actinobacterium partial 16S ribosomal RNA
Rfam family: Bacterial small subunit ribosomal RNA
Source: RNAcentral
UCGCGGCCUAUCAGCUUGUUGGUGAGGUAAUGGCCCACCAAGGCUACGACGGGUAGCUGGUCUGAGAGGACGAUCAGCCACAUUGGGAGUGAGAUACGGCCCAGACUCCUACGGGAGGCAGCAGUAGGGAAUAUUGCGCAAUGGCCGCAAGGCUAACGCAGCGACGCCGCGUGUGGGAUGACGGCCUUCGGGUUGUAAACCACUGUCAGGGGGGACGAAUACUCGGCCUCGAAUAGGGGAUCGAGGGUGACGGUACCCCCAGAGGAAGCACCGGCCAAUUCGGUGCCAGCAGCCGGGGUAAGACGGAGGGUGCAAGCGUUGUCCGGAUUCACUGGGGGUAAAGGAGUCGGAGGAGGUUGUUUAAGUCAUAGGUGAAAGCCCGGGGGUCAACUCCGGGGCUGCAGGCGAAACUGGAGGUACUAGAAAUCGGUAGAGGCGAGUAGAAUAACCGUUGGUGCGGUGGAAAAAGUAUAUAUACGGAAAAAUACCUGUGGCGAAAGGGGGUGUCGGGGCAGAAGCGGACGCCCAUCGUGAAAAAUUUGGGGGGCAAACCUGAUGGGGGACUCGGGUAGUCCUCUCAGUAAACGAGGGAUAC